Molecule: transfer RNA, 72 nt
Filed under: Ictidomys tridecemlineatus (thirteen-lined ground squirrel)
Lineage: Eukaryota; Metazoa; Chordata; Mammalia; Rodentia; Sciuridae
Description: Spermophilus tridecemlineatus (thirteen-lined ground squirrel) tRNA
Rfam family: tRNA
About the family: Transfer RNA (tRNA) molecules are approximately 80 nucleotides in length. Their secondary structure includes four short double-helical elements and three loops (D, anti-codon, and T loops).
Source: Rfam by way of RNAcentral
GGGGAUAGGGCUCAGUGGUAGGGUACCUGCCAGGUAUGCAUGAGGCCUUGGGUUCAAACCCCAGUACCUCAA